This is a long non-coding RNA of Symsagittifera roscoffensis, 964 nucleotides long. RefSeq lists it as uncharacterized. The transcript has 3 exons. NCBI's taxonomy places the organism in Eukaryota, Metazoa, Xenacoelomorpha, Acoela, Convolutidae. The record is from RefSeq and is a predicted model, not a curated record.
CGAUUGCUCUUUUUUCAAACCAAUCAGUUUUUAUUCCAGUUUUUAUAACAAUCGGAGCAAUGAUAAACUAGAGCUGGAAGAUCAUGAGCUGAAAUUGCUUUUUCAAAAUUCAAACCAUCGCUCGAAAUGCAGAAUUUUUCUAUUAAGUUUGGCAGAAAUUCUGAAUUUUCCUUGAUGAUAAUAAUUCCAGUUAUGAAUGAUUAGGCGUCGUCGAUGUUUGACUUUAAAUCAGCUCACAUUUGAAGCUUGACCCUGCUUUAUUUGGUUAGCCUUGUCUGAAGUUAAUUGUUCAGAGCUCUUAACCUUUUUAAAUUUCCUCUCGGUUGUUUGAAUGAUAUUAAUCAACUCUGAUAUUACGAUUGAACUAAAAAUGAGAUUGAAACUAAUAUUUACGAUUUUUGUUCUGAUUUUCUUCAAAACUGAUUCAUUUCGAGUUCCAUUAAAAACUGAAGAAACUAACGGCAAUUUACUUAAUAUUCAUGAUGCCAACAAAAACCAAAAUCAAAGCUCGACUGACAUUGUCGCCAGUCAUUUGCAGUCUGGCAUCAUUCGGGGCAUGCCGGUGAUUGGCAGUCGUCCCUUUUACGUGCAACUGCAUUCCAGAUCUGAGGGAUUCUUCUGUGCUGGGUCUGUACUCUCUGCUCUUUGGGUGAUUACAACCGCUCAAUGCGUCCAAAAACGAAGAGAUAUCACAGUGGUGGAAGUGGGAGAUCCGGUCGAUGGAAUUGCCCGUCACGUGGGCUACCACCGUGUGAAGAAAACAAUUCCACACUUCAACUUUGAUGACAUCACUCUAACUAGCAAUAUUGCCCUUCUACUUCUGUAUAAACCAAUGACCCACCUCGCACCAUACACUCUACCCCUCUGUAAAAACCCAGUCGAUAUUGGCAGCGGAUUGGGUGCUUGUGGAAUGGGUAAAACAUCUCCUCUGGUUAAAACAAAGCUCAACCUACCCUCCAAACUA